ACUGCUCAGUAACACGUAGUCAACAUGCCCAAAGGACGUGGAUAACCUCGGGAAACUGAGGAUAAACCGCGAUAGGUCAUAAGUACUGGAAUGUUUUAUGGCUCAAAUCUACAUGGCCUCUGGAUUGGACUGCGGCCGAUCAGGCUGUUGGUGAGGUAAUGGCCCACCAAACCUGUUACCGGUACGGGCUCUGAGAGGAGGAGCCCGGAGAUGGGCACUGAGACAAGGACCCAGGCCCUAUGGGGCGCAGCAGGCGCGAAACCUCUGCAAUAGGCGAAAGCUUGACAGGGUUACUCUGAGUGAUUCCCGCUAAGGGAAUCUUUUGGCAUCUCUAAAAACGAUGUAGAAUAAGGGGUGGGCAAGUCUGGUGUCAGCCGCCGCGGUAAUACCAGCACCCCGAGUGGUCGGGACGAUUAUUGGGCCUAAAGCAUCCGUAGCCGGUCUUGCAAGUCUUCCGUUAAAUCCACCUGCUUAACAGAUGGGCUGCGGAAGAUACUACAAGACUAGGAGGCGGGAGAGGCAAGCGGUACUCAGUGGGUAGGGGUAAAAUCCUCUGAUCCAUUGAAGACCACCAGUGGCGAAGGCGGCUUGCCAGAACGCGCUCGACGGUGAGGGAUGAAAGCUGGGGGAGCAAACCGGAUUAGAUACCCGGGUAGUCCCAGCUGUAAACGAUGCAGACUCGGUGAUGGGCCGGCUUCAUGCCGGCUCAGUGCCGCAGGGAAGCCGUUAAGUCUGCCGCCUGGGGAGUACGGUCGCAAGACUGAAACUUAAAGGAAUUGGCGGGGGAGCA
RNAcentral lists this ribosomal RNA (790 nucleotides) under uncultured archaeon. RNAcentral describes it as "bacterial SSU rRNA". It matches the Rfam family "Archaeal small subunit ribosomal RNA", at positions 85 to 878 of the family's 1478-position model. The record is from RNAcentral.